UACACACGGAUAACAUACCGAAAGGUAUGCUAAUACGGGAUAAUAUAUUUGAGAGGCAUCUCUUAAAUAUCAAAGGUGAGCCAGUACAGGAUGGACCCGCGUCUGAUUAGCUAGUUGGUAAGGUAACGGCUUACCAAGGCGACGAUCAGUAGCCGACCUGAGAGGGUGAUCGGCCACAUUGGAACUGAGACACGGUCCAAACUCCUACGGGAGGCAGCAGUGGGGAAUAUUGCACAAUGGGCGAAAGCCUGAUGCAGCAACGCCGCGUGAGUGAUGAAGGCCUUCGGGUCGUAAAACUCUGUCCUCAAGGAAGAUAAUGACGGUACUUGAGGAGGAAGCCCCGGCUAACUACGUGCCAGCAGCCGCGGUAAUACGUAGGGGGCUAGCGUUAUCCGGAUUUACUGGGCGUAAAGGGUGCGUAGGCGGUCUUUCAAGUCAGGAGUGAAAGGCUACGGCUCAACCGUAGUAAGCUCCUGAAACUGGGAGACUUGAGUGCAGGAGAGGAGAGUGGAAUUCCUAGUGUAGCGGUGAAAUGCGUAGAUAUUAGGAGGAACACCAGUUGCGAAGGCGGCUCUCUGGACUGUAACUGACGCUGAGGCACGAAAGCGUGGGGAGCAAACAGGAUUAGAUACCCUGGUAGUCCACGCUGUAAACGAUGAGUACUAGGUGUCGGGGGUUACCCCCUUCGGUGCCGCAGC
RNAcentral lists this ribosomal RNA (698 nucleotides) under uncultured bacterium. RNAcentral describes it as "bacterial SSU rRNA". It matches the Rfam family "Bacterial small subunit ribosomal RNA", at positions 134 to 852 of the family's 1533-position model. The record is from RNAcentral.